RNAcentral lists this ribosomal RNA (429 nucleotides) under Chloroflexota bacterium. RNAcentral describes it as "Chloroflexi bacterium partial 16S ribosomal RNA". It matches the Rfam family "Bacterial small subunit ribosomal RNA", at positions 355 to 776 of the family's 1533-position model. Lineage: Bacteria; Bacillati; Chloroflexota. The record is from RNAcentral.
UGGGGAAUAUUGCACAAUGGGCGCAAGCCUGAUGCAGCCAUGCCGCGUGUGUGAAGAAGGCCUUCGGGUUGUAAAGCACUUUCAGCGGGGAGGAAGGCGGUGAGGUUAAUAACCUCACCGAUUGACGUUACCCUCAGAAGAAGCACCGGCUAACUCCGUGCCAGCAGCCGCGGUAAUACGGAGGGUGCAAGCGUUAAUCGGAAUUACUGGGCGUAAAGCGCACGCAGGCGGUCUGUCAAGUCGGAUGUGAAAUCCCCGGGCUCAACCUGGGACCUGCAUUCGAAACUGGCAGGCUAGAGUCUUGUAGAGGGGGGUAGAAUUCCAGGUGUAGCGGUGAAAUGCGUAGAGAUCUGGAGGAAUACCGGUGGCGAAGGCGGCCCCCUGGACGAAGACUGACGCUCAGGUGCGAAAGCGUGGGGAGCAAACAGG